GGGUUGUGAGGUUAAGCGACUAAGCGUACACGGUGGAUGCCCUGGCAGUCAGAGGCGAUGAAGGACGUGCUAAUCUGCGAUAAGCGUCGGUAAGGUGAUAUGAACCGUUAUAACCGGCGAUUUCCGAAUGGGGAAACCCAGUGUGAUUCGUCACACUAUCAUUAACUGAAUCCAUAGGUUAAUGAGGCGAACCGGGGGAACUGAAACAUCUAAGUACCCCGAGGAAAAGAAAUCAACCGAGAUUCCCCCAGUAGCGGCGAGCGAACGGGGAGGAGCCCAGAGCCUGAAUCAGUGUGUGUGUUAGUGGAAGCGUCUGGAAAGGCGCGCG
This 328-nucleotide ribosomal RNA is filed under the name Escherichia coli. RNAcentral describes it as "partial 23S ribosomal RNA". It matches the Rfam family "Bacterial large subunit ribosomal RNA", at positions 1 to 356 of the family's 2925-position model. The record is from RNAcentral. Lineage: Bacteria; Pseudomonadati; Pseudomonadota; Gammaproteobacteria; Enterobacterales; Enterobacteriaceae.